Long non-coding RNA from Aricia agestis (brown argus), 1923 nucleotides. RefSeq lists it as uncharacterized. The record is from RefSeq and is a predicted model, not a curated record. NCBI's taxonomy places the organism in Eukaryota, Metazoa, Arthropoda, Insecta, Lepidoptera, Lycaenidae. The transcript has 2 exons.
CACAAGGUAAUUUUUUAAUCUGAUUUUCUCAAGAUCUGAUAAUGACAUCUCAUAUUAUCUUAAGUAGUUUUAAUGAGAGUUGAUUUUAAUUUAUUGAUUUAUUAAUGAUUUAACAUAAUUACAAUGUAUUUUUAUUUAUUAUGCAAUAAUACCAAGACACUGUCAAAAUGUUGAUUCAUUUUAUACAUUAUAUCCUAUAUCCUAGACCAGUGGUUCUUAACCGGUGGUCCCUGAAGGUAUUCCAAGUGGUCCGCGAAGCCAUCCUAAUAAUGCGUGAGAAUUCAGAAGUUAGUAAAGAGUAUGUAGUCACAAAAAUCAAAUUAAAUUAAAAUCUGUAACUUUUAGAUUGCCAAAUAAAAAGUGAGUGUUAGUUUUACAAUUAUUUAUAAUUGUGCUUGUUUUCUUUAUCAAACCACUUUUAGUUUAGGAAAAUCAACAGGAUGGUCCCGGCAAGACAAUGAUUUGGUUAGAUGGUCCGUCAUGACUAAAAGGUUAAGAACCACUGUCUUAGACCAUUAAAAAAUCCAUGCUAAAGCCGGUAAAAUUAUAUCUCGGGGAAUAAUUACGAAGUCACACUACUGAAACUACGCCUUAUUUUGUAAGACGAGCUAUCGUAGUGUGUAGUUAUUGUAUGUUUGAUGUAUCGCUGGCACACAUGCAUAGCAUGCAUGCCUAGACCGGCCUCAAUUUUUGUUUCACAAAUAUUAUUCGGUCUAUUAAAAAUACGUGAGACUCAAAACUUGAAUAUUAUUGUAAUCAACAAAAAUUACGUGAAACCUACCGUGAAACUCUAAUGUGUGAAUUAUAUUUUGAUGAAAUUUGUAACAAUAUUUUUAAGUCUCGCCUCUAUAGACCAACUAGGCGAUAGUUAAUGACUGACUUUAUGACUUAAUGUAAUAUUAGGGUCAUUUAAAACGGUAUUUUAGAUUAAAUUAAUGUAAAAUAAAUUAACUUUUAAAACAACUGUCAGUAACCAAUGUAUAACUCCCUGUUGGCUGUUUUAUACUUAUUUAUGAAUCAUCAUCAAUUAUCAGAAAAAUUAAUUCAUUGAUAGACCUACGUAAAUUGGUCGGGUUAUGUCAAGCCAAGACUACAGCAUUGAUCAUCCAACCAAAUGAUGUAGCCUGACGCCUAUGAAUAAAUUUAUGUGAUGGUACCUAAUAAUGAAAGUAGGCAAAUUGUAUAAUAAUUUGUUUAAUGUAAAGCUUCAAACAUUGAUGUUUUCAAGUCAUAUCUGGGGCAAUAUGUUUUCUGCUCCCAAUGUCGAGCCUUGUAAAAUAUCAUUUGUAUGUAGUUAUAAAUGUCAAUGUCGACUUUGUAUCUUUGAAAUAGAAUCGAAUUCACAAUACCAUGAACUGAUGCUACGGGUGUGACUACAGUUGCGGCGACUAGUCGCGUUUGAGCAAAAACGAUGAUCCUUUGCGUUGCAGUGCGUACAUUCAUAAAAUAUGUAUGUAUCGACAAUGCGUUGUUUUGACAUCAAAACGCAGACCGUUUUGUAUUGUAUUGACGUGCGUCGCCGCAACGCAGAUUGCUUUCGUUGCACAUCUGCUUAACAACGCACCGCAUCGGAGCAUCGUGGUUUCGCUCUUUGCAGCUUUGGUCGCUCACUGUAUUAGUGAUAAGGGUUAAGAUAUUAUGGUCGCGCGUUAUGUCGCGCGACAUGUCGGAAACGGUUUGCACUUUUUGCAUUACACAUACUGUUAAUAUAAUUGUGUAUAGAUAAAGACUAAAGUAUUUUGUGCAGUUACUGAAUAAGAUUAAUUUAUAGUAAUUUAUUGUAUAAUUUUUGGAAAUUUUGAAUAUUUUGUUUUUUUUGGUGUUCAGUUUGUAAAUGGCCUACGUAGGAACCUAAUUUGUUAAGGCCUAACUUUUAUGAUUGGCUGAUUUUCUAUGACGCAACAAUAAAGGUGUAUGAAGAGA